GCCCAAUCGUUCUCUCUCCCCAUCCCAGACCCAAAUUCUUCCACACUCAAAUUCACAAAACCUGUCGUGUGGAGUUUGGUAACGAAUUAUAUUUAGGUCCAGAGGAACCCAAUCGACUGAUUUUAGUCUGAAGUGAAAAAGGGAUAAUUAGGGGUUUCUGAAGUGAAAGAGGGAUAAUUAGGGGUUUCGAAAAAUUCUUAUAUUCGAUCAUCAUCUUCUUCUUUGGCUGCAAUCAGUGCAUGUUCUGCAUCUCCUUCAUUUUCGUGGGUUCACUUAAGAUCCGUUCUUUUUUUUUUGUUGCUCUCCUGCCUACUCUUCAUCUACUUCCAUACCAGUUUUCAGAUCGGUUGCAAGUGUGUAUGACCAAGAUGCACAUUAUGGACGCAAAUUUGGUGUUCCCAGUGCCCACGUCUCAUGUGAAUUAUCACAUCUCUGCAUGGAACACAUUUACCUAAGAGAUUCGUGCAUUUUUUCCACAAAAUUAUCGCUUGCAAGUAAUGGCAAUGGCAAGGAGACGUCAAAGAUAGCUUAUCUAGAAAUAAUUUUAACUUUUGUUGAUGUUGAUUCCUUGGAAGAGGUAUUGGUCAUCCACCAGCCAGUAAUUGUAUUUGUGUUAUAUGGAUACGUGAUGUGAUACGUGUUAGGAAGAGGAAAAUGAUUGUGGCUCAGAAAAUUCAAAGUUUCCUAUGGGUAUGGAAGAGCUAUGAAGCACUCUUGGAGGAAAACUGGGGCAUGAUGCCUGGAAAUGAAAUCCUGCCACUGCAACGACAAGGACCCGAAGUCGUCAUUGAAAAUAGUGGAUUCGAAUUAACAAAACCCGAUGAGAAUGAUACCAACAUGUCUGAUCACGGACUGAAUGCAGGAAGUGGACCGAUGUAACUGUCAUAUCAAAUUAAUGAACAUCUCCCCGCUACAGUUCUUGCAACUACAGUGUAAGUCUUACAGUAGCAGAAAAAUCAAGAAAUGUAAUUUUCCCCAACUCUAAGGAUAUAACAGAGUCGGGAGAAGAAGACAAGGUACAUGACCUGCGAGAGAGAUGACCUAUGGAAAGAUGAUGGUUUGUGUAUCAGGACAUCUAUGGAGGAUAUGAGGGUACAAAAUUUUGUAAGUAUCGUAUUCUGUUGGCUCAAGCAAUAAGCCAUCUAAUUUAUGUUUCUUACCCGGGUUCCAUGAACCAUCAGUUGCGAUCCAAGUAACAUGUGUAUAUCGCAUUUGGUACGUAAUAAAAUAUGAGGUUUCAA
Molecule: long non-coding RNA, 1241 nt
Organism: Papaver somniferum (opium poppy)
Lineage: Eukaryota; Viridiplantae; Streptophyta; Magnoliopsida; Ranunculales; Papaveraceae
Exons: 6
Source: RefSeq, a predicted model, not a curated record